Molecule: ribosomal RNA, 49 nt
Filed under: Choleoeimeria sp. JRB-2016
Lineage: Eukaryota; Apicomplexa; Conoidasida; Eucoccidiorida; Eimeriidae
Description: large subunit ribosomal RNA
Source: RNAcentral
CCUGAACAUUUGGAACAGAUGGAUAGAAUUUGGUAGUGGAACAUUUAAA